AGGCGUCCACACGGGUGCCCCACGAGGGGCUGAGACCGGACUGCGAUCGUCCGGGACCGUCGAACCUGAUCCGGUUGAUACCGGCGUAGGAAGUGAGGAGCGUAGCUGU
Molecule: regulatory RNA element, 109 nt
Organism: Corynebacterium glyciniphilum AJ 3170
Lineage: Bacteria; Bacillati; Actinomycetota; Actinomycetes; Mycobacteriales; Corynebacteriaceae
Rfam family: TPP riboswitch aptamer (THI element)
About the family: Vitamin B(1) in its active form thiamin pyrophosphate (TPP) is an essential coenzyme that is synthesised by coupling of pyrimidine and thiazole moieties in bacteria.
Source: Rfam